Dreissena polymorpha is the source of this 788-nucleotide long non-coding RNA. RefSeq lists it as uncharacterized. The transcript has 3 exons. Lineage: Eukaryota; Metazoa; Mollusca; Bivalvia; Myida; Dreissenidae. The record is from RefSeq and is a predicted model, not a curated record.
GAUAACGACUUAGGUAUUUAUUUUAUAUUGACAAGACAUGUAUUAAUAAACAAAGUGGUAAAACGAAACAUGUAAAAUGAAGUUAGCGUAUCCGUUUAAGGAAGUGCACCAUAAUAAACUUCCGCGUUAUUUUUUUUAUGUCGGCUUAUGUUGGUAUUUACCGUACCGUGUAGUCGAUCGUAAACGGCUACAUUCGGAGCAGCCUGGCUUACUUCGUGUUAAUAUUAUGUCGGAGUUUUUUAAUUGGAAAUUCAAUUUUUUUCAAGAUAAAUGGUUCACUUGGAGCAUAUUAUAUCGCUGGAUGUUUAAAGCCACACACCUUGAAAUGAAAGUGUGUGGCUUUAAGCAGUGGAGAAAUCACACUUGAACACGAAAUAUGAGGGAAACACGAAGAUUAUGAGCAAUACUUUUUGAACUGAGUUAAAGCUGCAGUAAAUAUCAACUGAAUGAAACGGAUGAUUUCUCAAAAACGAUGAAAACGAGCUAAAUACAUAGUCAAAACUGAACCUAUAUUAGGUGCCAAUUAAUGUGUUAUACUUAAACAAACGUGGUAUAAUGUUUGUGCGUCAGCAACGUGUCUUUCUAUUCAAAUUAUAAUGAUGGUGAAUAAUCCUAAAAGUCAAAUCGAGCGUCAUUUAAAUAAGGUGAGUUUAAUUUAAGAGAAUGAUAAGUAAUAAGGGAAAUCGAAUUAAAUGCAAACAUUUCUUAAUAAUUGCAACUACUUCUUUAUAUUCAAAAUAACAGAAUUUGCGUGCAUAAUAAUAAAGAUUUACAUAUUUAAACACGUU